Molecule: ribosomal RNA, 434 nt
Filed under: Hemigymnus melapterus
Lineage: Eukaryota; Metazoa; Chordata; Actinopteri; Labriformes; Labridae
Description: partial 12S ribosomal RNA
Rfam family: Bacterial small subunit ribosomal RNA
Source: RNAcentral
UUAGCCCACGACACCUUGCUAAGCCACACCCCCAAGGGAAUUCAGCAGUGAUAAAUAUUAAGCCAUGAGUGAAAACUUGACUUAGUUAAUGUUAACAGGGUCGGUAAAUCUCGUGCCAGCCACCGCGGUUAUACGAGAGACCCAAGUCGAUGGCCCUCGGCGUAAAGAGUGGUUAAGAUAUACCCAAAACUAAAGCCAAAUGACUUCAAAGCUGUUAUACGCGCAUGAAAGUACGAAGCCCAAUCACGAAAGUGGCUUUAAGCCCCUGACUCCACGAAAGCUAUGACACAAACUGGGAUUAGAUACCCCACUAUGCGUAGCCCUAAACAUUGAUAAUAACCUACUUAUUUUAUAUCCGCCCGGGUACUACGAGCGUCAGCUUGAAACCCAAAGGACUUGGCGGUGCUUUAGAUCCACCUAGAGGAGCCUGUUCU